This 3475-nucleotide long non-coding RNA is filed under the name Podarcis lilfordi (Lilford's wall lizard). The record is from RNAcentral. Lineage: Eukaryota; Metazoa; Chordata; Lepidosauria; Squamata; Lacertidae.
GAAAAAAUCCUCCCUCCCCUUCCUGCAAACGGGGGCAGGGUUGCUUUCUGCUAUUGCAAAUCCUGCCUUGCUCUCUUCCACGGGGAUCUGGUGAGUCUCUUCCUCCCUCCCCCCCCCCGGAGGGCGCAGUGGGGAGAAGGUGGGGGUCCCCGGGCUGCAGCAGGGGAGGGUGGCUCAUGUGUGGGGGGGGGGGAGCCCCGGGAGCAGGGGGUCCUGCCAGGGAGGGACGGGGUUGCGCGAGGUUUGCAACUACAGUACUGUAUGUCCUGCAUUUCUAUACAGACGCCGCUUACUCCUUUGGGAAGGGCAAUCCUCUCCUGGGAUCUGGUGAGUCUCUUCUUCCUCCUCCCCCCCCCCGAGGGUGCAGUGGGGAGAAGGUGGGGGUCCCAGGGAGGCAAGUGAGGGUGGCUCAUGGGGGGGGGGGAGCCCCAGGGAGCAGGGGGUCCUGCCAGGGAGGGGCGAGGUCGCAGGAUCUGUCUCCUUCCUUUAGAUCUUUGGGGGGGGGGAGGGGAGGAGGUUCCCGCCCCCCUUCCAGAAAAAAAAUUAUUCAGAGCCCCCUGGGAAAUCUAGCAGAUAGAAAUCUAGCUUCUGUAAGGAAGCUUAUCAGUACGACUUCUGCUGUGUGUGACACGAGUCAGCGUCAUUGCACAACAGAGGAAACACAUAUGAAUGGUUGCUCCCAAACCUCUUCGCUCCUUUCCCUCCUUUCUUUCUGCUUCUACCGCCCCCUUAUUGGCAGAGGAGGCCAGCCAAGCAGAUCAAGCCAAGCUUUAUGAGGAGCUGGGUAUGUUUAGUUGGAGAGGAGGAGACAGAGAGGAGAUAGGAGAGCCGUGUCAGAUUAGAUAAUUUAUUACGGUCAGAGACCAGCUUAUAAAACACACUUGGGAGUACAGUCACAGAAGUAAAACAGGCAAUUUAUGUACGACAACAAAUUAAAAAACAAUGUACACCAACAAACUAUCCCAGGGAGUUGACUCAGAGUCACCCAUGAAACUGAGUUUGGGGAUUUUCAUGACGGUCUAUUUUGAGUUGGGAGAUGGUCUGCGCCUACAGAUCUGUACACAGAAUCUGGCGACCAUCCAGGUCAUCUUCUGAUCUUUGCCUAACAGGAAAAGGUCUCAUUUUUGCUUUUGCAGGAGGUCAGCGAGCCUCACCAGCAGGGGAUCAAUGGUCUUACUACGUGUCUCUUCGUAAAAGGGACGUCUAAAGAACAAGUGUUUUGGCUUCCUAUCUCUCCCAAUGGACAGGUGAAAAGUCUCUGAGCAUACGGGACUUUUCUAGAAGCUCCGUCCAGGACCAGCGAGGAAGAGCCGAGCUUCUGGCGAGUGUAAAGGCCCUUCUUGUAUUUCUAGAUGCGAGAAAGAAGAGAUAUUCUGCCGGUGCGGCUAUAUAUUUCUCGAUUUCUCCAAUUUUAUGGUCGGAGCACCUUGCGCAGUCCUGUUCUCUCUCGGUAUCUAAUAUUCUUUGCCUGACUGUGGCUUUUGCCUGGCACAAGCCCAGACUUAGAAGGGCUUGAGGGGCAAAACCCAGUUUCCGGAGGGUGUUCAGGACUGCAGUCUGCCAGCCCGACUGGAAUUGGUCACAGAGGAUCAAUGGGGCUAUCCCUCUGGGGAUCAGAUACAAUGUCAGCCAUUUGUAGAUUGAUGUUAGGCAGAUGCUAGCCUCCACUCUCAUCAUCCCCGUUUCUAAUCUAACCCAUGCGUUUGAGACACAUCUGGGCACUUGGAGGAGAGCUCUAAGAAGUCUAGAUUGAACUCUCUCAAGGGGGGAGAAAGCCGAGGAACGCGGGCGCAAAAAGGAACCAUAAAGGAGUUGUGCCAAAGUUUUGGCCUUGUAUAGUUUUAGAGCUGCGGGAACAAAGAAGCCCCCUGUGCUCUGAAAAAUUUAAGGAUACAAUUUGCGGGUUUUUCCGCUGAACUCCCGAUGGAGUUUAUGUGUAGUUUGUUGGCUCCUGAGGCCUAUACCACCAUUCCUAGAUACGUAUAGUUUGUGACUUGUUCUAAUUUAUGGCCUUGGAGUUCCCAGCUUUUAAGCUUUGGUUUUUCCCCAAAAGCGAGUAUCUUGGUCUUUUGAUAGUUGAUUUUGAGACAUUCAAAUUCACAGUAUGCUGCGAGCUUUCUUAGUGCUCUUUUGAGUCCAAUGGGGGUUCUAGAUAGAAUUACUGCAUCGUUGGCAUAUAGCAGGACCGAAAUAUGCCGAUUUGUGAGCUUCGGAGGGUGGAGUUCGGAGUCAUGGAGUGCAGAUACUAAAUUAUUUAGAUAGAAAUUGAAUAGUAGAGGGGCCAAUAGGCACCCUUGCCUGACUCCUUUAGAGGUUUUAAUAGGGUCCGUUAGGUGUCCUAGGCGGCUACACCUGACUCUAAGAGCCGUGUUUGCGUGCAGUGCCUGAAUUAAGAGCAGAAGCUCAUAAUUCUAUGUAGGUACCCUGUAGUCUGUCCCAGAGUCUGGUUCUGGAGACUGUAUCAAAGGCUGCUUUUAGAUCAACAAAGGCAGUGUACAGUGAGGCCGGCCUUUAGGAGAGCCAUGUCACCUGGGCGCAGGAUUCCAACCAAUGGCUUCAAGCUACAAGAAAGGAGAUUCGGACUCAACACACCUAGUCAUUUUUCACUAGGAACCAAUGACUCCCUUGUCAAUCAGUUCUGACUUCAUGCAUUGACUGGAAGGAAGGAGCAACCAGGCUGAGUCCCCUCGCAUUAAUCUCUUCGCUUGCCUCCACAUUUCCACAAUCUCCCUUCGAGAGGCCUACAUCAUCUCCUCCUCCUCCUCCUCCUCCUCCUCCUCCUCCUCCUCCUCCUUUUUAGAAAGAUAGCUCAGAGUCUGGGCUGUGGUGCAGUCCUACCCUGGUUCCCAGGAAGACUCAUCCAUGCUUGCUCAGGGAAACUUUUUCUUCUCCUGAUAUUGUACAACUUUUGUAACAGAACAAUGUAUGUGCUUUGUAGAAUUCAGACAGACAGAACUUGGCAGAAGACCAAAGUGUUCCUUCCAAUCUCUCCGAGGCUUCCUGAGAGCACAGAUGGAUGAGCGAGACACAGCUGGCCCUAGAGCAGGAAGAGGCCAUGUCAUCCAAACUGGGAGCAGUGGGGGAUUCUGGGAAAACUCUGUGCAGAAGAUCCUGGGUGAGGAGGACACCCACUCCUCAGAGGUGCAGAGCCAGCAGUUGAGGCAGUUCUGCUUCCAGGAGGCCAAGGGACCCCGAGAGGUUUGCAGCCAACUCUACCACCUUGAUCAUCAGUGGCUGAAGCCAGAAAGGCACACGAAAGCUGAGAUGCUGGACCUGGUGAUCUUGGAGCAGUUCCUGGCUGUCCUUCCACUGGACAUGGAGAGCUGGGUGAGGAACUGUGGAGCAGAGACCAGUUCCCAGGCAGUGGCCCUGGCCGAAGGUUUCCUCCUGAGUCAGGCAGAGGAGAGGAAGCAGGCAGAGAGAAAGCAGGUGAGAGAGACUUUCCUCUGGAUACUCCCAAGGGGCUCCAAACAGG